Molecule: ribosomal RNA, 498 nt
Filed under: uncultured bacterium
Lineage: Bacteria
Description: partial 16S ribosomal RNA
Rfam family: Bacterial small subunit ribosomal RNA
Source: RNAcentral
GACGAACGCUGGCGGCGUGCCUAAUACAUGCAAGUCGAACGAGAGCGACCGGUGCUUGCACUGGUCAAUCUAGUGGCGAACGGGUGAGUAACACGUGGGUAACCUGCCCAUCAGAGGGGGAUAACAUCCGGAAACGGAUGCUAAAACCGCAUAGGUCUUCGAACCGCAUGGUUUGAAGAGGAAAAGAGGCGCAAGCUUCUGCUGACGGAUGGACCCGCGGUGCAUUAGCUAGUUGGUGAGGUAACGGCUCACCAAGGCCGUGAUGCAUAGCCGACCUGAGAGGGUGAUCGGCCACAUUGGGACUGAGACACGGCCCAAACUCCUACGGGAGGCAGCAGUAGGGAAUCUUCCGCAAUGGACGCAAGUCUGACGGAGCAACGCCGCGUGAGUGAAGAAGGUUUUCGGAUCGUAAAACCCUGUUGUUAGAGAAGAACAAGUGCUAGAGUAACUGUUAGCGCCUUGACGGUAUCUAACCAGAAAGCCACGGCUAACUACGUG